AGCAUGUCUGAAGGUAGUGAAUUAUCUCAAUUGAAUGUUCACAGUCAGCUACAGGUUGAACUCUUUGUUAUAUUCUCUCCCCUCUUCUUACUACUGCCCUUGACUUGUUUUAA
This 113-nucleotide Y RNA is filed under the name Carlito syrichta (Philippine tarsier). RNAcentral describes it as "Y RNA (ENSTSYG00000035795.1)". It matches the Rfam family "Y RNA". From Rfam's summary of the family: Y RNAs are components of the Ro ribonucleoprotein particle (Ro RNP), in association with Ro60 and La proteins. The record is from Rfam by way of RNAcentral. Lineage: Eukaryota; Metazoa; Chordata; Mammalia; Primates; Tarsiidae.